UAGUUGCUAUCCGAGGGGAAGGUUUGUCUUGAAAACAAAUUUUGAGUGUUCGACUCACUCAGUGACUUU
RNAcentral lists this transfer RNA (69 nucleotides) under Tanea lineata. RNAcentral's name for it is "tRNA-Ser". It matches the Rfam family "tRNA". Rfam says of the family: Transfer RNA (tRNA) molecules are approximately 80 nucleotides in length. Their secondary structure includes four short double-helical elements and three loops (D, anti-codon, and T loops). Lineage: Eukaryota; Metazoa; Mollusca; Gastropoda; Littorinimorpha; Naticidae. The record is from RNAcentral.